RNAcentral lists this non-coding RNA (30 nucleotides) under Mus musculus (house mouse). Lineage: Eukaryota; Metazoa; Chordata; Mammalia; Rodentia; Muridae. The record is from RNAcentral.
CUGGUCUCUUAUUUAAUUGGUAAUGACCUU